CUCCCUGGAAAGAAUGUGGGAGAGAGAGGCAGAGAUAAUGAAAUGUUUACAGCUUUGCACAAGAAAACUGCAAUCAGUCAGAAGCUAAGCCAUAACUUCUAGAAGAUUCCUAGUUUUACAACUAAUCUUUAUUUUGAGAAGAAAGCAGUAUAUCACCACCACAUCAGGUUUUCUGUAGAGCCCACAGCCUGUCAAGGACAGAGACUUUCAGCACAGGAGAGAGCCCCCAUCCAUGUGGGAGACCAAACAGGCUUGUGUCGCUCCAGCUCCUCAAGCUUCCUGGGAUGCCGUGUGUGUGACAUUACCUCCACCAGCAUGCUGGUGGCUCCUUCACUAGCCAAGCCCAACAAUAUGAUCAGGACUCUUGUCACUGUCUUGUACCCAGGGUUCUGGGCCUGCUGGAGUUGGAGGAUGUACUUUAAAACUGUCUCUGCUCUGGGCCACUUUUUGCCUCCUAACUUUAUUCUUUUUGCUAUGCCCAUCUAGAAGCAAGAUGGAAGACAUUAAGUGUUACUUCAGCCAUUAUACUUCCUUUAAAAGGGAAGUCACAGGCGAGCAGGGGAGGAGGAAAGGCCCAUGUGAGCCGUGGGGAGAAAGGUCCUAAGGGCCUGGAGUGAUGGGAGCAAUAUAAUGGACAUGAAGCAUAGGGCAUGACAAAUGAUGAGGUCACAAGCUCCUGAUUCUCUAAGGCUACAUGAAUGAGGUGGUUGAUAUACCAAGUCAGUGACAAAUGAGGACAAGCAUUCACUCUGCUCACACCAAGAAGUUGUGACAGUGCAGAGAGAGCACUGUGCUGCACAGGCUGCGGGAGAUCCCAAACCUGCUUGCUGGAGAUGGUGCCUCUAGUCCUGUGGACACUGUCUGUUCUUUAGCCACCUAGAGAGGUAGGCUGCCUACCUCAGCAGGAGGCCAUCUGGGCUCUGUGCUGUUUCAGGCUCUGUGGUGGUUGAGCCUGGUGCUUAAAGAGGCCAAGUAUGCUACUAUACUGGGGCAAAUAUUUAGUAGCAGCAAAUUUGUAAUUUCUGCUUUUGGAGAAUAAGGUUAAAAUACUCCAAUUAUCACAGCCACGGGAGCAGCUGAGUGCUCUAGAAGCAAUGUUUACAAAGCAAAUAAAAAUGGGUGAAAAUGUGGGAUCCAAUGAACUACAAAAGUCCUGCUUGUGCCAAAUGCAGAGAAUUUCUAGAGUUGUGGAGGCAGAAAGCUGAGCAAAAAGCAAACGCAAAUCUGAAUCUCCUGCAUCCAAGUGACAGUCUCUACUAAUGAGAUCACACCAUAACUAUAUUUUAUCCUUAAAGUUCUUUUCCUUAAAGUUCAGCUUCUGUAAAGAUGGCUCAGCAGGUGACAGUGCUUCCCUCGCACCACACAAGCCUGGGAACCGGAACUCAGUCCUGGGAAUCCAGGCAAAGGUGGAGGGGAGAACCAACUCCAUCUCUCAAGCUAUCUCUGUCCUCCACGUAUGCACUGCAGAACACGUGGACACACACACACACACACACACACACACACACACACACACACACUCAGUCACACACGUGCACAUGUACACACACACAUACACACACACUGCACAAACUAAUAAAUAAUGUAAACAUUUAACAAGGAUUAGUUAUGACAGCACACUCUUUGGGUAGAGAGGUAUGGUUGACUAAUCAAUGUCUCAUUUAAGACAGCCCAAAGCAAUCACCCACAUCCUAUGACACAUCUUGUGUCUGCUGUGUUUCUAAACUGAAGGUGAAGAUGGCAAGAAAGAUGACGGGGUUCUACUUUACCUUCUUCACACACACACACUCACUCACACACUCACUCACUCACUCACACACACAUUCACACACUCACUCACACACUCACUCACUCACACACUCACUCACUCACAUACUUACUCACUCACUCACUCACUAGAACGAGGAGAGGCAGCUGUGCUGCUGCACUGGGCUGGGUUGUCACUGUAAUCACAGACCUGCUCUAGCCUAGGAUGCGGUCAUGGAGGGAAGGCCUUGAGGAUACCACAGCCUUCUCCUGAGGGAGUGAGUAGUUCUUAAAGGUCAGAGUGCUGGGAUCUGAACUUGGGUCCUCUGGAAAAGCAGCAAGCAAGAUCUUGAUUGCACAACUAUGUCUCUAGCCCAGUCCCAGGACUGAAUAAAUCUUUAAAUUUUCUCCUUUUUAGAUGUAUUUAUUUGAUAUGUUCUAGGGUUCUGCCUGCAUGUGUAUGGCUGAAACCUGAAGAGGUCAGAGGGCGGUGUCAGAUCCCUUGGAACUGGAGUUAUGGGUGGCUGUGAACUGCCAUGUAGGUGCUGGGAAUUGAAUCUGAGUCCUCAGAAAAAUAUCAAGUGCUCUUAACUACCAAACCAAGCCAUCUUUCCACCCCACAGUGGUCAAAUAUUAAAGCAUCCUGGGAGGAAGCACACAGGAGCUACAGAAGACAAGGUGUCCCCGUGCCUUAAGAAAGGAAGGUGUAAUAAGUUCUCAAACUGACAACAGCUAGGAGAAUAGAUGGACUAAUAGGCCUGUGAUAAAAAAAAAAUGAUGGUUUUGUCUUCAAUAGACACCAUAAGACUAUGUAUUGGGCUGGCGAGAUGGCUCAGUGGAUAAGAGCACUGACUGCUCUUCUGAAGGUCCUGAGUUCAAAUCCCAGCAACCACAUGGUGGCUCACAACCAUCUGUAAUGAGAUCUGGUGUGUCUGAAGACAGCUACAGUGUACCUAUACAUAAUAAAUAAAUAAAUCUUAAAAAAAUAUAAAAAAAAGACUAUGUACUAGCAAGGCCCAGAAUAGGGAAAAUAUUUGCUAUAGAUAUUACUCAUUUCCAUUAACUGAGUUUAAAGAGCUUUUAAAGUUAGGCAGUAAUAGGAAGAGAGACAUUCAAAGCUUAAAGACAAAGAAAACAUUCAAACAGACAACUUCAUAAAUUGUUUUCUGAGGGCUGGCAGGAUGGCUCAGUGGGUGAAGAAGGUGCCAACCCUGAAGAUCUGGAUUUGGUCCCUGGAGCCACACGCAGAGAAUUGCCUUCUGCAAGCUGUCUACUGAUUUCCAUAUGUGUCUAUUCCCAACAGAUAAGUAAAUAAACAUAAGGAAAAAAAAGAUUUAAAAAGUAGCAUAUAUAGCAAAAGGUGUUUGAUAUUGAAAGUGACUAAAGAAUGCAGACUCCAUUUCCAAGGCAAUAGCAAGUAAAACAACAGCAGCAACAACAACACGUCCCCAAAUUUACUAGAAGAAACACAGAGUGCUGGACACAAUGUAAACUGACAUGUCCAUUUUGGAAGCCUGCUCCGCUACUUUAUUACUGAGUUACACCCACAUUUCCAUAGACAAGCUAAGGGAAACAGUGGCAUAAUCCACACACAGGACUCAGCACAGUGUCUGGCCGUGAACUCCCAGUCCUCUGCUUCAGCUUCCCUCAUGCCAGAGUUAGCUGCACUCAAAACACCUCACCUGUACCAUUGUUAUUUUGCUAAAUUACUAAUAGGAAUGUGAGUGUGUAUGACACACAUACACACGGACACACAACAUUGGCUGCAUGAUUAGCUUCCUUGGUCUGAACCCUUCCUUCAGCUUCUAACAAUUCAACACAGGGUAGUUCUGGAACGUACUUUAUGCUAUGCUGGACAUCUGCAUGUGCUGCCCCGGGUACAUGUAUUUGCAUGCUGGACAUACUUGACUGGUGCAGCCAUAGCAUGCAGUAGUUUAGCAACAACAGCUGCUACUGAUGUGAAAAGCUGAGACUUUUUUGUGUCAGGGAAGUCAUGGCAGAAGUGGCUUCAUUAUCCAUAAGUCUCUAUUUUCACCUUCUAGGGAUACAAUACCUUACUUUUGCCUAACUAACCCUGAUCUGCAGGCUGCUGUGGUCAAGUGGCUGAGUCCUGUGUCAAGGGACACUGGGAAGGGUACGCACACUUCGUUGUUCAGUGAUACACCUGUUGAAGGGAUGCUCAUGUGCCCUACCUUUCCUCGCCCUGAUGGUGGGGAGUCCUGACAGAUGGAUACACAGCCCUGGUCACCUUCAGCUGACUUUCCACUAUAUGGAUACAAACUCCUAUCCAAUCCAGCCACUGUCACUUAGGUUGCCACUGGGUUAGUGCAGCUCAACGGAAAUUUCAACUUUUGGUUCACUAAAGUUUUACCGUUCCAUGGAUAUCUCUGGGUCACGUAUGCAAGUCCCUGAAGCAGCCCCUUCAAUGCAAGGUUUGUCCAAUACACAUGCAUCAGCACCAGGUAGUUUCUGAGAUCCUCAAAGAAAUUUUGUGUGUCCCAGAUCAUUUUUUACCAGAUGAUAAAAUUAAUCUGUUUGCUUAUUUGAUUUCUAGCUUUGUUUUAUUCCUCCUCCUCUCUGUGUGUGAAAGCCACAUGUGCAGUGCCUGCAGAAGCCAGAGGAGGGCAUCACGUCCUGGAGCUGGAGUUACAAGAGGUUGUGAGCUGCCUGACCUGGGUGCUAGGAACAAAACUUGGGCCCUUGGCAAGCUCAAAAAGCACUUUUAACCACAGAGUCACUUCUCCAGCUCUUUAACUCUACUUUAAAAAGGAAUGUGGCAAUAGCAACCAUAACUAAGACACCAUCCAGCAAAACAAAACACUUGGAUAGAAAUGUGCAUGUCCUUGCGGGAUGCAACUAGAGCUGAAUACAGCUUUCCAAUCAUAACUCUAAGGCUUGUCUAACUUAAUUUGAUUGCCACCAGAGUUGUUGAAUAAAUAAGUGAAAAAAAAUUAUCUCAUAAAAAUGAGACCUUUAAUUAGAUAAGCCACUUGGAAAACAAACCUCCAUGUAAGUAUUUAUGGAGCUGAUUUAGAACAAAGGACACUCUACCUACAACAGUGUCAGAGGGAGAACAUCUGAUUGGCAUCUUGUACACAGAACUUCACAGAAGCAAGCCACAUCUACACUGAAGGCACUGCAAGACUAAUGACUGAUUAGAACUGCUUGAUUGCAGUUACAGAUCCACAUCUGGACUCUUCAGUUUAUUCAGUCAUCCAUUAUCCUGCUCUGGGUCUGACCUAAUCUGCUGACUCUCAGCUAAUACUAUUGAAAUGCACUCUUUCAUAAAGACUUAUUUUUA
Mus musculus (house mouse) is the source of this 5047-nucleotide long non-coding RNA. RefSeq annotates it as predicted gene, 31269. The transcript has 2 exons. NCBI's taxonomy places the organism in Eukaryota, Metazoa, Chordata, Mammalia, Rodentia, Muridae. The record is from RefSeq and is a predicted model, not a curated record.